RNAcentral lists this long non-coding RNA (1105 nucleotides) under Rattus norvegicus (Norway rat). Its description in RNAcentral is "long non-coding RNA NONRATT026177". The record is from RNAcentral. Lineage: Eukaryota; Metazoa; Chordata; Mammalia; Rodentia; Muridae.
CGUCAAGGCCCUGCCAGCCAAGGUGCCCAGCUCUCUCGCCUCUCAAGCGGCUUCUAUGGCCCAUAAGCUAGUUUUUUCCUCACACAUUUUCCCAGGUCAGAGGCACGAUGAAGGCAGUCUUCCAGAGGGGAAAGUAAGGUUGUCCCCCAGCUUCAUCGUGAGCCACAGAGGAAAGCCGUGAGGCUGUCUGAGGGGAGGGCAGCAACAAGUACCAUUUGGCCUCUCCUUGUGCGAGUCCACUGGCUGAAGGUGGUCUCUGGAUCCUUCGCUCCGGCACUGACACACACUCCUGUUCGGUUUGUGUAUAUGGUGUGAAGUGGGGAAACAAAGGAGCAUAUACGUGUCCCUCUGUGACAAGCACUGGGACAGAACUGUCCCACAGCCACCUUCCUAGAAGACUCUGAAUAGUCAAGCUGCUGUGGGCAGAUGGCUUUGGCUCAGUGGUGGUCAUGGGCAAUCCAGGAGCUGUCUGCCUGGAGGGAGCCUGGCACAGAGAGGAGGAUCAGUGCAGGGGAAAGAAGACUGUUUCACCUUGCUGUUUACCCGGUGUUCACACUCUGAGUGAGGACGGAGACCCAUUCAAUGAAGGCUGCGGACUACAGGUUCAGAACGGGGCUAUGUGUCUAGCAGGAUGACAGAGGUAGAAGGUUUGCUGAAAGCUUGUGGGAGGCUCAAUGCUCAAGGUUGUAGGGAGGGGUGUUUUGUCUGCAGUCUGGCCACACUGGGACGGUGGAUGUGUGACUAGACCGGCUUUAUUGAAACUCACUACCAGGAGGGCCCAUGGAGCCACAGAGGAGUCGAUGACACUCCCAGGAAGGACAGCUGGACGAUACAAUCUGUGCUGUCCUCUUUAUGGUGCCCCACAUUGGUCAGUACAGAGAAAGAGUUCCCAGGCCAGAUGCCACAGCACAGACAUCAGCAAUAGCCAGCUGUGUUCCCGUGUGCCUCACUCUUGGGAGCAGCUGGCAUGGGACCUCAGGAGGAGGCAGGUACUCUCAAAGACACUAGCUUGCCAUACCCAGGCUCGGUGAAACAUAGACGUCAUCUGAAGUCCCUAUAUGGCCCAGCAAGCCUACUCUAUUGUUCCCUUAACUCAGAUGGAGCC